Molecule: transfer RNA, 73 nt
Filed under: Acidobacteriota bacterium
Lineage: Bacteria; Pseudomonadati; Acidobacteriota
Description: Acidobacteria bacterium (wastewater metagenome) tRNA-Thr
Rfam family: tRNA
About the family: Transfer RNA (tRNA) molecules are approximately 80 nucleotides in length. Their secondary structure includes four short double-helical elements and three loops (D, anti-codon, and T loops).
Source: RNAcentral
GUCCGCAUAGCUCAGUCGGCGUGAGCACUCGCAUGGUAAGCGAGAGGAGCCGGUUCGAUUCCGGCUGCGGGCU